This 402-nucleotide ribosomal RNA is filed under the name uncultured Agrobacterium sp. Its description in RNAcentral is "bacterial SSU rRNA". It matches the Rfam family "Bacterial small subunit ribosomal RNA", at positions 353 to 772 of the family's 1533-position model. Lineage: Bacteria; Pseudomonadati; Pseudomonadota; Alphaproteobacteria; Hyphomicrobiales; Rhizobiaceae. The record is from RNAcentral.
AGUGGGGAAUAUUGGACAAUGGGCGCAAGCCUGAUCCAGCCAUGCCGCGUGAGUGAUGAAGGCCUUAGGGUUGUAAAGCUCUUUCACCGGAGAAGAUAAUGACGGUAUCCGGAGAAGAAGCCCCGGCUAACUUCGUGCCAGCAGCCGCGGUAAUACGAAGGGGGCUAGCGUUGUUCGGAAUUACUGGGCGUAAAGCGCACGUAGGCGGAUAUUUAAGUCAGGGGUGAAAUCCCGGGGCUCAACCCCGGAACUGCCUUUGAUACUGGGUAUCUAGAGUAUGGAAGAGGUGAGUGGAAUUCCGAGUGUAGAGGUGAAAUUCGUAGAUAUUCGGAGGAACACCAGUGGCGAAGGCGGCUCACUGGUCCAUUACUGACGCUGAGGUGCGAAAGCGUGGGGAGCAAA